This is a small nucleolar RNA of Neoarius graeffei (lesser salmon catfish), 141 nucleotides long. Lineage: Eukaryota; Metazoa; Chordata; Actinopteri; Siluriformes; Ariidae. The record is from RefSeq and is a predicted model, not a curated record.
GGUGCACACUAUUAAAGCCUGUCACUACUGUUGGUGUUGGGGUGUCGGAAGUGUGCUAAAGUGAGCUGGCCGGGUUUUCGCUAACACCAUGAGGACUUCCUGUCCCAUGACUGGGGUUUGAUAGUGACCUGAGCCACAUGG